CUGGCGGCGUGCUUAACACAUGCAAGUCGAGCGAUGAAGCUUCUCGGAAGUGGAUUAGCGGCGACGGGUGAGUAACACGUGGGUAACCUGCCUCAUAGAGGGGAGUAGCCUUCCGAAAGGAAGAUUAAUACCGCAUAAGAUUGUAAUAUCGCAUGAUAUAGCAAUUAAAGGAGUAAUCCGCUAUGAGAUGGACCCGCGUCGCAUUAGCUAGUUGGUGAGGUAACGGCUCACCAAGGCGACGAUGCGUAGCCGACCUGAGAGGGUGAUCGGCCACAUUGGGACUGAGACACGGCCCAGACUCCUACGGGAGGCAGCAGUGGGGAAUAUUGCACAAUGGGGGGAAACCCUGAUGCAAGCAACGCCGCGUGAGUGAUGACGGUCUUCGGAUUGUAAAGCUCUGUCUUCAGGGACGAUAAUGACGGUACCUGAGGAGGAAGCCACGGCUAACUACGUGCCAGCCGCCGC
This 465-nucleotide ribosomal RNA is filed under the name uncultured bacterium. RNAcentral describes it as "bacterial SSU rRNA". It matches the Rfam family "Bacterial small subunit ribosomal RNA", at positions 36 to 518 of the family's 1533-position model. The record is from RNAcentral.